This 468-nucleotide ribosomal RNA is filed under the name uncultured bacterium. RNAcentral's name for it is "partial 16S ribosomal RNA". It matches the Rfam family "Bacterial small subunit ribosomal RNA", at positions 28 to 507 of the family's 1533-position model. The record is from RNAcentral.
GACGAACGCUGGCGGCGUGCUUAACACAUGCAAGUCGAACGGAAAGGCCCUGCUUUUGUGGGGUGCUCGAGUGGCGAACGGGUGAGUAACACGUGAGUAACCUGCCCUUGACUUUGGGAUAACUUCAGGAAACUGGGGCUAAUACCGGAUAGGAUCUCCUGCUGCAUGGUGUGGGUUGGUAAGUUUCGGCGGUUGGGGAUGGACUCGCGGCUUAUCAGCUUGUUUGUGGGGUAGUGGCUUACCAAGGCUUUGACGGGUAGCCGGCCUGGGAGGGUUACCGGCCACAUUGGGACUAAGAUACGGCGCAGAAUCCUACGGGAGGCAACAGUGGGAAAUAUUGCACAAUGGGCGGAAGCCAGAUGCAGAAACGCCGCGUGCGGGAUAACGGCUUUCGGGUUGUAAACAGCUGUCGAAGGUGACGAAGCGUGAGUGACGGUAAUGGGUAAAGAAGCACCGGCUAACUACGUG